RNAcentral lists this ribosomal RNA (253 nucleotides) under uncultured bacterium. RNAcentral's name for it is "partial 16S ribosomal RNA". It matches the Rfam family "Bacterial small subunit ribosomal RNA", at positions 524 to 776 of the family's 1533-position model. The record is from RNAcentral.
UACGUAGGGUGCGAGCGUUAAUCGGAAUUACUGGGCGUAAAGCGUGCGCAGGCGGUUUUGUAAGUCGGGUGUGAAAUCUCGGGGCUUAACUCCGAAACUGCAUUCGAUACUGCCGUGCUUGAGGACUGGAGAGGAGACUGGAAUUUACGGUGUAGCGGUGAAAUGCGUAGAUAUCGUAAGGAAGACCAGUGGCGAAGGCGGGUCUCUGGACAGUUCCUGACGCUGAGGCACGAAGGUCAGGGGAGCAAACGGG